This 11785-nucleotide long non-coding RNA is filed under the name Lynx pardinus (Iberian lynx). Lineage: Eukaryota; Metazoa; Chordata; Mammalia; Carnivora; Felidae. The record is from RNAcentral.
UUUUCUUUUUUUAAGCUGAUUAAUUUAUUUUGAGAGAGAGUGAGCGCGCAUAGGACAGGGACAGAGAGAGAGAAGAGAGUGAGAGAAUCCCAAGCAGGCCCCCUUCCGACAUUGUGGAGCCUGACUUGAGGGCUUGACUUCAUAAACCAGGAGGUCAUGACCUGAACUGAAAUCAAGAGUCAGACACUUAACCUACUGAGCCACUCAGGCAUCCUGACUCUUUAAGUAUGUUUAGGUGUUUAAAGGUUUAAACUUGACCAAACCUCAAAUUUUCAUUAAGAUGGUGACUUAGCACUAUGUAAUUGGAAAAGGAGAUAGGAUUUAAAGUUUGCUUUUGAUUUUAAUGGUUUUUGUUUAGAGACCUGCACUAUAGGACCUAUCUACCCAAUUUCAGUUUGUUUUUUUUUCCCCCCUCCUUUGCCUCUCCUUGUCUUUUCCACUACAUAACCCAACUUCUUCAUCUGUAAAGAAAUUGAUUUAGAAAUUUCCAUGGUGGGGCGGGCACCUGGGUGGCUCAGUCGGUUAGGCAUCUGACUUUGGCUCAGGUCAUGGUCUCCUGGUUGGUGAGUUCGAGCCCCUCAUCCGGCUCUAUGCUGACAGCUCAGAACCUGGAGCCUGCUUCAGAUUCUGUGUCUCCACCUCUCUCCGCCCCUCCCAUGCUCAUGCUCUGUCUCUUUCUGUCUUUCAAUAAUAAAUAAAUGCUUAAAAAAAUUUUUUUUAAAGAAAUUUCAAUGGCUUGGGGCCCCUGGGUGGCUCAGUUGGUUAAAUGACCAACUUCGGCUCAGGUCAUGAUCUCACGGUUCUAGAGUUCGAGCCCAGAGUCAGGUUCUGUGCUAACAGCUCAGCGCCUGGAGCCUGCUUCAGAUUCAGUGUCUCCCUCACUCUCUGCCCCUCCCCCACUUGCACUUUCUCUCUCUCUCUCUCUCUCUCUCUCUCUCUCAAAAAUAAACAUUAAAAAAAAGAUUUCCGUGGCUUUGCUUAUCUCUUUCUGCUUGUCCCUCUGAUAACGUGCCCACCCUCCAGAUCCUGAGAAAGACUUUCUUAUUAGCCCAGAAUCCCACCUCCUUAUCACAUAGUUACUUUUAAACCCCUCCAAUAACCUUGUUAAAUUCCUAUGACAUCACAUACUUUUAUGAACCUGGUCAAAAUUUAAGAAUGUUUUAAUGCAUAUGCAUGCAGUUGGUAAACUGCAUGCAAAUGAUAAGAGUACUAAAAUAACCAAGACUUUGCCUUUUCUGUGGUCAUGACAUCCUAGUUCUAAACCUCUGAGCUCAGAUUAUUUUCUGACUAUAAUCUCCUGCUCUUCUGCUUACUCUGCAGUUCCUGAUUCUCGCUGAUUGUCCUCCUCUUAUCUCAUCCUUCUGUUCUAGGCGUCAGGUCUGUGUUUCCAACACAUAUCACUCUGUUCAGUGCCAUUUCUUUGCUCAAGAAGCUUUAAUGCUGCACGUUGGUUAUUUCUCCUCACACCCUUCUUUUAAAGAGACCUGUUUUCUGUGGACUCCAGGAGCGUUUGUUUUGAGCAUUGUUGUGGCACUCCUCACACUGUGCUUUCUGAAUUGUCUCUGGAUCCUUCAUUACUUUUUGACUCUUCCAUGGUCACAGAGAUGCUUAAGGAGUGAUUGAGUGGCUAAAGGGACUCUUGAAAGUUUUGGGGGAUUUUGUUUGUUUUGUGUUUUUGUUUUGUUUUGUUUUCGGUAAUUAGAAUCUGUUAUAUCCUGAUGAGGACAACAGCUGGGAUGUGGGAGAAGUUUGUUAGAGAGUCUGACAGUCUAAUGACAUUAAAAAAAUUAAGCUUUGUCCUUGGGCUUUAUGCAUUUACAUGGUUCUGGGGAGUGAAAUUAUUUAUGAUUCAGGUACAUUGUAGUUAACUGUUACAUUUUCGCAACUGUGCUGUAUCCUUAUACAACUGGAUGUGUUCAGAUACUAUUCUAAUGUAAUUGAAUACUCACUGAAUCACAUCUUUAUGUUUUCACUACUUUUCUGGCUCUUUGGCAACUUGAGAAAACUGUAACAUUUCACCCUUUGUGUCUUUCAUUUGCUACUAUAGCAAGUAAGAGAUAAUUUAUGCAUGGAAGAUGCACCUAAAUAAAUCACUGUAAUUCCUAAUCCCUUACCUCCAAAAAUUAAGUCAAACCUUGAUUUUUCAAGAUUCUGUGAUCAAAAGUUCCUCUUCAUAUUUCACAAAAUAGUUAUUAGUGACAUAAUUUGAAUUUUUUGGCCCAUUAACAUGCUUUGGUUUGCUGUAUUGAAAAAAAGGGUAUUUGUGGUACAUCUUAAUUUAUUCUCUAAUGAAAGCUUAGAAGCUGGAAAGCUUAGAAGCUUAGAAGCUGCCUACUUAAUCUCCUUUGUUGAAAAUUGUACGUGACAGUGAGUGUUUCUCAAAAUAAAAUUGAUUAUUUAAAAUAGAAAACAGUAUUUUCUGGUGAGUUUGCGUGCACACAUGUGUGUAUGUGUGUGUGUAUCUUGAGCCAAUUUUUUGUUGUUAAAAUUUACUAUUUCUGUGUUUCACCAAUACAGCAAUUUAAAAAAUGUUCAUAAAAUUGAUCUGUUUUUUUAAAUCGUGAAAAUAAGAAUGUAUCUUGACAGUCCAUUUUUUAUAUUUUUGUUUGUUAGUGUAGCAGCUGCUUUCACUUGGAAGCAGGAUGAUACAAAGCUGACAUGGGCUUUGAAUGUGGUACAGAGUGCCUCACCUUUCCUGGGUCCCUGCUAUGAAUCUCAGUUAGUAACAUCCCUUGGCACUUCCAAGUAAAAGCCAAAGAGCCAGUUUCAUGUGAAUUGUUUCUUAAGGAUUUUUAUCCAUUUGUGGUGGCAUUAUUUGUUUCUUUUUCUUCUGUCAUUGCCUUCCUUUUUCCAUCCAGUGCCACCACUUUUCUUCAGCCUCUCACCUUUUCUGCCUGUAAUAUUUCAGUGUUCUUCCAACUGAUUUUCUGUUGCCCAGGCACUGCCCUUUUUAGUUCUUCCUCCACAUUGCUUUCUUUCUCAAGUAUAAACAUUUAUGUGAAUUGUUGCCUAAAAUCUUUUCAUAGUUUUUUAUUGCCUACAUAGCGUUGGGUGCAACACUUCUUGUGAUUUGCCUUUUUUGUACUGUAUCUGAAAAUUCCUGCCACCUCCGUUUCAUCCAUCCAUUACUGGUUCAAACAUGUAUUAAAUAGCCAUAUGUACCAACUCCCUAACCAAGAUAUAAGUUACCCCUUCUGAUCAUGAAUGAGUAGAGGAGAAAUCUCAUUCCUAAUUCUGGUGCUUAACAUCUUCAUUUGUGUCAUUUUUCCUCCCAUGGGUUUCAUGCUUGCCCUUAUGGGGUUGGCUGGUGGCCAUCUUUCUGUCUUUUGAUAAUAUUUUUAGAAGUAUGAUGUCUCUAUACAGUUUCCUUAUAUUCUGUCUGUAGUUAUUUAUACUCAUUAGUCUUUACAUUAAUCAUUGCUACCAGUCUCUUUUGUUUCCCCCUUGAAAUUUAGCUCUUUUGCAUAGCCCAUUAAACUGUGGAGGAACAAGUGUUUUAUGGUGCCAUUCAGGCAAGUGUGUGUCCUCUUAAAUAUCUUCUCUUUGUAUUUAGUAUACUGCAAUAAUCUGGGCUGAGAAAAACUUCUUUGUGGGAUAGUAUAUCAUUUGGUUCUGUAUACUCAAUAAGUAGUCAUGUUUGUGCAUCAUUUUACCAUUUAUAGAGGACAUUUGUAUUUGUUAAUCUUUUAAAUCUAAAUAGUCCUUUUUAAAAAAUGUUUAUUUUGAGAGAAAGAGAGUGCAAGCAAGGGAGGGGCAGAGAGGGAGAGAGAAUCCUAAGCAAGCUCUAUGCUCAGCAUGGAGCCCAACAUAGGGCUCGAUCUCACAACGGUGAAAUCAUGACCUGAGCCGAAAUCAAGAGUCAGACACUUAAUCGAUUACGCCACCCAGGAACCCUAAACAGUAUUUGUAGACUGAAAAGCUGAAGCUUGUAAAGGUCAACAGUGUCCCAGUACCUCCUAGCAGGUUGAUGGCUCCUCUGUAGGAUCAUGCUGCCUCCUUUCCCAUCCUGUCUUUUUGUGCUUCGUGGUCAAGACUGCAGUUUCUUUGUGUACUAAAAUACAGUUUACCGAUUUUAAUUAGCACUUUGAAUAUAUCAUUUCAUUUCUCCAGUAUUUCUGUUAGACAAGCCUGGCAUUAUUGUUUACAAAUGAGGAUAGUGCAAAUCAGGGCAGUUAAAUGACUUGCCCCAGUUUGCCAAACUAAUGAUUAAAAAACAAGAACACAUCUCUAGAUUCUAGCCUACUGCUAUUUCCAUUGCCUCAUGCUGCCUCUUUGCUGUACUGUAAUAUAAGUUGGAAAGUGAAAUAGGUUUUUAUUUGGGGGAUUUCACUGAAACAACUCUCCGUUAUACUGUAUAUUAAAAUGUGAAAUAUUAAAAUUAAAUGACGACUACUAUUGGCUUAAUUUAGCAUGAGUUUUGUAUGCCAUGCUACUACUAUGAUAAACGGAAUGGUUAGAAUCCAAUGAUACAUUAAUUGUCCAAAAUAUGUUACUGAAAGGAGAAAUAAUACCACAGGCAUGAAAAUGUGUUUUAGAGAUUGGGAUCAUCCUGUACUACUCAUUGGCAUUCUGCUCCUCCUGCUCUCAGAUUAAUUCUGAGGCCAUUCUUAGCCUAUGGAGGCAGAACUCUCGGGAUGGGAAAUCUACAUUUGGAACAGUCUCCUAGGCAGUGGCUGCAGCAUCCCAAGAUAUACUCUGGUUUUGCUUCAUAAUUCAUACCCAUUGUUUAAUCAGCAGAUGGAUUGAUUGCAAGAAUAAUAGCCUUUCUACAGAGCAUCUCGAGUGUGUGUGUUGUUUAGCAGCAAGAGUCUAUAGUGAGCAGGUAUUAGGUAGAGAGUCUGGAAUUCUUUAGGAUUGUAGUGCUACUUUACUCCAGAAUUUUUCUUUAGUUGUGGAGUCUGCAUAAACCUUGGUUUGACUGUGGUUUUCUGUGUAAUCUUGCAGCUGUGGUUUGUUGUGUCAUUCCUGAAUGUCUGCAUCUGAAUCAGUGUUGGAGUUGGGCAUUGUGUCAAGAGGCUGAAAAUUUACGAAGUUAGAUGGCUUUAGAUGAUAUAUACCAUGUUGUUUCUUAAUUUGUAAAUAAUACAACAGGAAAAUGAGAAUACAGCAACGAAGAGGAUGGUGCGGUAUAGUCAAGAAACAGGGAAUUGAGAAAUAAAAGGUUGACUUCCCACCGCACUGUAAACUUGCCUUCUGAUCUUACAAGUCUCUAACUCCUCUGGUCCCCCGUUUGUUAAAUGUAAAGUUAAAACACUCUCAGGGUUGUGAGGAUGUAAUUAGAGGAUAUUGGGGUCCCUGGGUGGCUCAGUCGGUUGAGCGUUGGACUCUUGAUUUCUGCUCACAUCAUGAUCUCACAAAAUAAAUAAAUAGGGGCGCCUGGGUGGCUCAGUCGGUUGGGCGGCCGACUUCGGCUCAGGUCAUGAUCUCGAGGUCCGUGAGUUCAAGCCCCGCAUCGGGCUCUGUGCUGACAGCUCAGAGCCUGGAGCCUGUUUCAGAUUCUGUGUCUCCCUCUCUCUCUGACCCUCCCCCGUUCAUGCUCUGUCUCUCUCUGUCUCAAAAAUAAAUAAACGUAAAAAAAAAUUAUAACAAAAUAAAUAAAUAAAGUUAAAAAGAAAGUAAGGAUGAAGGCACCUGGGUGCCUCAGUUGGUUGAGGUCUGACUUUGGUUCAGGUCAUGAUCUUAGGGUUUGUGAGUUCAAGCCCCAUAUCGGGCUCUCUGCUGUGAGCUGAGAGCCUGCUUCAGAUCCUCUGUCCUCCUCUCUCUGCCCCUCCCCUGCUUGUGCUCACUCAAAAAUAAAUAAAACAUUAAAAAAAACCAAGGGUGUAAUUAGAAGAUACAGAUAAAGACUCUUUGCACAUGUGCAAAGUGCUGUUCAGAUGUUACUUGUUUUAAGAAACAGUGGUUACCAUAUGUCAGGUCCUUAAAGAGAAGUUACUUCAGUUCAGACCUUCUAUCAACCCUGCAAAGCAGGCAUUACUAUCUCCAUUUGACAGAUAAGGAACCUGGGGUGUAGAGAGUCUGAGUAACUUGCUGAAGGACCCACACUAGUAAGUGAUGGUUCCUUAUUUAAGCUCCAGUGUAUCCCUUGCUCUGCUGCCCUGCUGUUAAUAAGGGAUCAAUAGUAGAGACUUGAACUUUAACAAUAAAUUGCAUUAUGCUUCUAAGAAAUGGAAAUGACACUUUAGAAGUCAGGAGAUCCAGAUGGUCACUAUAUUUUUGAGUAAGUUACUUAAAUGUAUUCUGUUAAAUACCUUUAAAAUACUUGGCUAUGUUUCUGCCAACGUUUAUAUGUAAAAUGUCUUAUUGUGAUUUUAAUCUGUAUCAGAAUAAAUUUCCUUUGAAAUGAUUAAAAUAUGUUGUAAAAAUCCUAUUUUAAUAUUUUCUUCUUUUUUAAUUUUAGUCAUUCUUACACUGGUCAAGAUUACAGUACACAGGGAAAUGCUGGGAAGAUUUCUUUGGAUCAGAUUGAUUCGGUAAGCAUCGCAUCCUUCUAAACUUGAACAUUUGUCAAUGAGGAAGCACAGAUUUUCUUCAAAGAUUAUUUUGGGGUGAGGAGAUGGGAGAGAAUUUCAUUUUAUUGCUUGCCAAUCAUUUUUAAAGGAAGUCCCAUGUGCUAUACAGGUGAAUUUUUGUAAUCAUAGGAAAAUCAAACUUAAUCAGGAAAUUAUUUGCAUUCUGAUGAACAGAAUUUAAUCAGUUUUUCCAAAGGGGUAUUCUUUUAGGUGAUGAUAGCUAAAUGGUAUUUGUAUGUUUAUAUUUAAAUACCUUAUACCUAAAAGGGCGCCUGCUGGCUUAUCAGAAGAACAUGUGACUCUUGAUCUUGGAAUCACAUGAGUGAGUGGGGCAUGAGUUCAAGCCCCAUGUGGGGUGUAGCGAUUACUUAAAUAUAUAAACUUUAAAAUAGGGGCAUCUUGGUGGCUCAGUCGGUUGAGCGCCUCUUGAUUUCGGCUCAGGUCAUGGUAUCCUGGUUCGUGAAUUAGAGCCUGUGUGAGACUCUGCACUGACAGUGCGGAACCUGCUCGGAUUCUCGCUCUCUGCCCCUCCCCCGCUCUCACUCUCUAAAUAAAUAAACAAACAAACAAACAUUAAAAAAACAAGGAUGUAAUUAGAGGAUAUAGGUAAGGACUCUUUCUUUGCACAUGCAAAGUGCUAUUCAGACAUUCACAUGUUACUUGUUUUAAAUAGUGAUUACUUCCCAUAUGUCAGAUUUUGGAACAGAAGUUACUUUAGUUCAAAUCUCCUAUCAACCCUGAAAAGCAAGCAUUAUUAUCUCCAUUUGAAAGAUCGGAAACCUGGGGGAUAGAGAGUCUGAGUAACUUGCUAAAGCACACGCUAUCUCUCUCUCUGUCUCUUCUCUCUCUCUCAAUAAAGAAAUAAACAAACUUAAAAAAGUUUAAAAUACAUUGAGUGAAUGAAUGAAUGAGUAAAUGAAUGCCCCACCCACCCACCUACCUACACACCAACCUUAUACAUUGAGAAAAAGAGAAAUGGAAAAUGCUAAGUUUGCUAGGGCUGCCAUAACAAAACACUACAGACUGAUGAUGCCUUAAACAACAGAAAUUUAUCUUCUCACAGUUCUGGAGGCUAAAAUUCUGAGAUGAAGGUGUUGGCAAAUUUGAGGCCUCUUUCCAUGACUUUUAGGUGGCCACUUUCUCCCUGUGUUCUCACGUGGUCUUUCCAGUGUGCUUGUGCAUCCCUGGUGUCUCUUCCUCUUCUUAGGACACCAGUCACGUUGGAUCAGGGUCCCACACGCAUGACUUCAUUUAUAUUAAUUCCCUCUUUAAAGACCCCAGCUCCAAAUACAAUCACAUUCUGAGGUCUUGGUGGUUAGGACUUCAACAUAUGAAUUUUGGUAGGUUACAGUUGAUUUCAUUAACACUAAGUAUAGGCUCCCAUGCUUGUGUUGCUACUAGAUUAAUGGACAGCUCAUUUCAACUUCACUUUGUGGUUCUGUUGUAGAAUGAAAGAGUAGUAUGCUUUACUAUAAUUUAUAGAGUUUUUCUUUUUAAUGCAUUGUAGAAUUUCUGCUCUACCCCAAAAAGGGAAACUAAACUAGCCAUAAAUAAUCUUUAUUUAGACAGUUACCAAAUUAUUUACAAUAAAUUAAAAAUACAUUGACAUUUUAAUGCUUGGAAAUAAGAAUAAGGUGAGUAGGGAGAGACCAGGAGUUUUUAGAGACCAGAAUGAAUAGGUUGUCUUCCUGUUUGGAAAAAUUAUAAUCAAGUACUUGCAGUUAAUAUGUCUAGAAAUAACAUAAGGAUUGCUCACUUUGUACAGUUGAAUUGAAAUUUGUUCUCAAGGAUGCCCCAUCCUUUACUUUCCUCAAACAGUUAUUAUCUCUAACACUUCCUCUGUGCCAUAUGAUUUGUGUUUAUACUAUGUGAAUGGUUAGAAGUUAAUUCUAUUCCUGAUUCAAUCAAGAUGUUCUGCCGUUCACAAGCAACUGUGAACUUCACUGGAUACUGUGGGAAGACAUAGAAAUAUAAUCAUUAAUUUACUGAAUAUAUAUUGAACCCAUCAAUUAUGUACCAGCCACUGUGCUGUUCAUACAGAGGUGAAUAAAACAGAAAAUUCCUCUACCUUCAUGGACCUUACAUGAGGGAGGUAGACAACAUGUAAAUAAUAAAUAAUCAAUAUAAUGAUAAAUUAUCUUAAGUGCUAUGAUGAUCAUAUCUGUGGGUCUAUGCUUGAGACCCUGUGCUAAAUUGAUUAAGUGUAUCUUUAUCUGUACUUCUUCCUAACUAUCUGUACUGCCUUGUCCUUAUAACAGCAUGUCAUUAUCACAUCCCUUGAUAUUCUCAGUUUCUUCUUCAAAUGUUUUCUUUAGAUUUUUCUUCUCAUUGAAAUCUGGCUCUCUCAAUGAUGUUGUUUCUCCUGUGCCUCUUGGUCGGUUGGUCUGUCUGUCUGUCUCUCUCUCUCUCUCUCUCUCUCUGUCACACACACACACACACACACACACACACACACACCUUAAUUUGGUAUGAGAUGUAUCUUCCUUGGUCCAUUUUACCAUUUGCAAACCAUUUCUCUGCCUUCCUGCCUUCCAUUAGCAGAGCUAUAGCUCCUUUAAAGCCCUGUAAUCCCAUUACAGUUCUCCUUGUUGCCUGCGUCCCUGUCUCCUGCUCUUGUUCACGGGUGACUGUAGCAUGCUGUCAUGGUCUCUUGCACUAGCAUUACUCUUGUUACUCUUCUUGGCCUCUGCAACAUCCAUGUUGAUAAUUCAUCCAUGCUCUGGUCUUACAAUUCCUUUGUCUGCUCAUUAUCCAUAAGCAUUUUUCUGUUCCAUUGCUGCCAACCUAGACCGUAUGUUUUUCAUUUCCAUUAUUUGGAUUACUUCCAGAGUAUCUUCCUUGCUUCCGUAUAUAAUCUGUUCACUACACAACAGCCAGAGUUCUCUUUGCUUAUCACAUCAUGUCAGUCUUCUGAUCUGAACCCUCUAUUGAGUUUCUAUCACAUCUAGACUAAAAUCCAAACUUAUAACUAUGGCCUAUAAUGCCAUGUGUACUCAUGAUUCCAAUUUCAUCUUCUCCAUUCUGUCCCAUUCACACGUUUAGCCACUUGGACCUUAUUGCUAUCUCUGGAGCACACCAUGUUCAUUCCUUCUCAAGAUCUUUGCUUUUGUUUCCUUUACUUAGAGCAGUAUUCCUGGAUCUCAUUUGACUGGAAUCCUGCUUAAAAUAGGAUCAUAGCUGCAAUGCCAACUCCUCAGAGAGGCUUUACUGGCCACCUAAAGUAUUCCUUUCCUAUUCACACUUGAUCCCAUUAAUCUGUUUUAUUUUCAAGGCUUUUGGAAUUAGAUGUUACCUUUAUGUCUGCAUUCAUUGUCUGUUCUCCCAUUUGAAUGUAAGUUCUUUGAGGACAGGGUAUUUGACUUCUUUGUUCACUGCUAGUUCCCCAAGGCUGCACACAGAGUUGUGUUCAGUAGAUAUUUAGUGAUCGAAUGAGUAAACAGUGUUCAAGGAAUUGUGCCAAAGGAAGCUGAAGUUGAACUGGGUCUUGACCAAUGGCUUGGCUUUGGCUAGAUGGCAUGGGAAGUAGGAAGGGUUUUACCCCAGGCAGGGCCAGUGGAGUGACAAAAGUGAGAAGGAACAUACAAAACAUGACCAUGUGAUCAUGGAAUAACCCAACUGACUGGAGCAAAGGAUUCAUAUUGGUAUGGUAACACACUGGGCUUUUUUACCCUAGUUCCAUGGCACUUGAUUUAUGCCCUUGUUAGAGCACCCAUUAUAUGACUGAUUUAUGUGAGUUUUAGUUGUAUAAUAGUGACUGUUUCUUUUUAUUUUGUGUAAGUGAUUUAAAGGGGAAAAUUACGUUGUAUUCAUCUUCUUGUUUCCCAAGCCACCUAAUACCUAUUUGUUCUGUUGCACGUAAUUGAAAAGUAGCUAGUUACAGACAUUGACAGAACCUUGAAUGUUCAUACUAAGGAGGUUAAAUAUUCAUUGGUGUUUUUGGAUUAGAAAAAUGUUUAAGAAAAAUAAUUUGGUAAUAGUAUGAAGAUACAAGAAGGAACACAUGAAAACAGUAUACCUGACAAGGGAGGAUAGAGGCCUGGCUGGACUAGGUUGGGGAUGGAAGAAUUUCAAAGUUGUUAAGAUGAGAGGAUAAAGAGGGGCGCCUGGGUGGCGCAGUCGGUUAAGCGUCCGACUUCAGCCAGGUCACGAUCUCACGGUCCGUGAGUUCGAGCCCCGCGUCAGGCUCUGGGCUGAUGGCUCAGAGCCUGGAGCCUGUUUCCGAUUCUGUGUCUCCCUCUCUCUCUGCCCCUCCCCCGUUCAUGCUCUGUCUCUCUCUCUGUCCCAAAAAUAAAAAAAAAUAAAAACGUUGAAAAAAAAAAUUAAAAAAAAAAGAUGAGAGGAUAAAGAAACUGGAUGGUCGCUAGAGGGAGCAGCAAAGGCAAACAAAGUGAUACCUGCUUCUGCUUUGGGAGAGUUGAACUUCCGAAAAAAUAUGUGAGGGCGUGAGAAUUAAGUCUUGGGAGAAGGAUAUUGAGGAAGACAAAGAGAAUGCAAUUGAAAUCAUAAAUGAAAAAGGUUUUCUUUUUGUUAAAGUUUAUUUAUUAGAGAGAGAGAGAGAGAGAGAGGGCAGAAGAGGCAGAGACAGAGGGAAGAGAGAGAAUCCCAAGCAGGCUCCUCACUGUCAGCACACAGCCUGAUAAGGGGCUCAAACCUAUGAACCCUGAGAUCAUGACCCGAGCUGAAACCAGGAGUCAGGUGGGUAACUGACUGAGCUACCCCGGUGCCUCCGUAUUAUUUUCUUGCAACUGCAUGUGAAUCUAUAAUUACCUCAAAAGAAAAAUUUAAUUAAAAAUGAAAAAUAAAUAAGUGAAAUAAAUUUUAAUAAUAUAUUUUAUUCAACCCAGUAUAUCCAAAAUUUUAUCAUCUCAACAUGUAAUCAAUCAGUAUAAAAAUGUUAAGAAAACAGUUCAUCUGUAAUUGCAUUAAAAAUGCUUUCUUAUAGUUUUUGUUUUUAUUCUAAUUAGACUAAAUUUACAGUUUGCAAAUUAGAUUGAGUUUGCAACAGCUAUUGUGAGGAACCUGGUAAACCUUCCACAUAACAAAAAACUCUUUUUCUCGUAGCUUUCUACCAAAUCCUUCCCACCUUGCAUGCGGCAGUUACAUAAAGCCUUGCGGGAAAAUCACCAUCUUCGUCAUGGGGGCCGAAUGCAGUAUGGCCUCUUCCUGAAGGGCAUUGGUUUAACACUGGAACAGGCAUUGCAAUUCUGGAAGCAGGAAUUUAUCAGAGGAAAGAUGGAUCCAGACAAGGUAAUUUUGAAAACUCACAACAGUAG